Long non-coding RNA from Felis catus (domestic cat), 450 nucleotides. RefSeq lists it as uncharacterized. NCBI's taxonomy places the organism in Eukaryota, Metazoa, Chordata, Mammalia, Carnivora, Felidae. The record is from RefSeq and is a predicted model, not a curated record. The transcript is spliced from 2 exons.
UUGGUGCCCUUGCUAUAGACCGACCCCUUGCCUCUUGUUUGUAGCACUGUUAAAUGCUUAACACACCGUAUUCCUGAAUUGUCCGGUUUGUAGUUAUCUCAGAGCUUAGCAUAUAUGUCAACAAAUGUUUGCAGAAUGAUCUUUCACUGGAAGUAGUGUAGUAGAGCUUGGCUAACUACAGAUGCUACAGUUACUAAGAUACAGAGAUUCUAUAGAAUGGACCUUUACAGUGGUUGAGGAAAGGGACCCUAUCAUUUGAAAUGUCCGCCAUAAACACUACCCAUCCCUUACAUUAAGGUACACGUAUUCAUGCCACGAAGGAAGCCACACUUGAUACAAGCGGACAGUGAUGGUUAUGCUCCCAUCUAACAUAGCUUGCUUACAUUUACGGCCAGACUGAUGUCCUACCUGAUGUGCACUCCAAGUAAAGGUGGUUAAUGUCGACCAGGA